Delphinapterus leucas (beluga whale) is the source of this 1689-nucleotide non-coding RNA. The record is from RefSeq and is a predicted model, not a curated record. Lineage: Eukaryota; Metazoa; Chordata; Mammalia; Artiodactyla; Monodontidae.
AAUCAGUCACUGGCCCUGGCCGGGCAAGGGGCACUAGGUGGACCAGCUGCCUCCGAAGCCCCCUGACCUGGUGUGGAAGUGGCGAAGGAUUCCUGAUGCUCUGGACCUGUCGUGUGCUCUGCUCCCAAGCGGGGUCCUCCGCUGGGGGCUGGAAGCCCCUGAGCUUUGAUGGUGGGGCCUUCCACCUCAAGGGCACAGGAGAACUGACCCGGGCUUUGCUGGUGCUACGGCUGUGUGCCUGGCCCCCUCUGGUCACCCACGGCCUGGCGCUCCAAGCCUGGUCUCAGCGACUCCUGGGGUCCCAGCUCUCGGGCGCGCUUCUCCGAGCAUCCAUCUACGGGCAGUUUGUGGCUGGUGAGACCACAGAGGAGGUGAGGGGCUGUGUCCAACAGUUGCAGAGCCUAGGCCUCCGGCCCCUGCUGGCGGUGCCCACUGAGGAGGAGCCAGACUCAGCUGUCAAGACCGGCGAGGCCUGGUAUGAGGGGAACCUCAGCGCUAUGCUUCGAUGUGUGGACCUGUCACGAGGCCUCCUGGAGAGCCCCGGCCCGACUGGAAACAUCCUCAUGCAGCUGAAGAUUACGGCUCUGAUGAGCACUCGGCUCUGUAAGGAGCUAACCUCACGUGUCCGAAGGCCAGGGGGCUCCUUGGAGCUGAGCCCUGAAAGACUGGCUGAAGCCAUGGACUCUGGGCGGGACCUCCAGGUCUCCUGCCUCAAUGUCGAGCAAACCCGGCAUCUCCAGGCCUCCUUGAGCCGUUUGCACCGGGUGGUACAGCACGCCCGGGCCCAGCAUGUGAGGCUCCUGGUGGACGCUGAGUAUACCUCCCUGAACCCUGCACUCUCUCUGCUGGUGGCCGCUCUGGCCACUCGCUGGAACAGCCCCAGGGAAGGCGGGCCCUGGGUGUGGAACACUUACCAGGCCUAUCUGAAGGACACCUACGAGCAGCUGAGGCGGGAUGCUGAGGCCGCAGACAGGGCUGGCCUGGCCUUCGGGGUGAAGCUGGUACGAGGGGCAUAUCUGGACAAGGAGAGAGAGGUGGCCCGGCUCCAGGGUACCGAAGAUCCCACUCAGCCUGACUACAAGGCUACCAGUCAGAGUUACAGCCGCUGUCUGGAGCUGAUGCUGACCCAGGUGUCCCAUCGUGGCCCCAUGUGCCCCCUCAUGGUGGCUUCCCACAAUGAGGACUCUGUUCACCAGGCAACCAAGCGGUAGAUGGUGAGAACUCUGCUGGGCAGACGGCGCUCUUCCUCGCGGCGCUGCUGGGCCACAGCUCUGCCGUGCAGCUCCUGCUGGCCUUUGGUGCCAGCCCCAACCACCGCUGCCUGGACGGCAGCACACCUGUGCACGCGGGCGCCUUCUCGGGCCGCAGCCUGGUGAUGCUGCACGUGCUGCAGGCGGGGGGUGACCUGCGUCUGCACGACCAGCAGGGUCGCAGCCCUCGGGAGUGGGCAGAGCAAGGCGGUGCCAAGCAGAGCUGGGAGGUGAGCCGUGGCCGGGGUGGGGUGAGGGCGUCAGGGCGGGCGCCCCACCCUGCCUCACCCCACGGGCCACCCCCUGUCCGGGUGCUGGAGCCGUUACAGCUCUGCCGUGCCCACACAUCAGCACUGGUGCAUGGCAGUGAGCUGGCACCCACGGCCCCGCUGGGCCAGCUGCAGGCCAGCUCUGGACGGAGCCUGUGUGGCGGUGAGCG